GAGACGGACACGUCAUUGCUCAUAUAUAUAUAUAUAUAUAUAUAUUUAUACCUUGUUCGCUGUAUUUUUAAUCCUAUGUUUUUAGCAAGAAAAAAAUUAAUUCAUAAUAAUAAUACAUUCAAUUGUAUAUAUUGCCCUGGUGCAAUUUAGAAGUUGAACCAAUCAUGACGACUAGAGCACUUUCCUCUAAAAUGCUUUUGCCGAGUUCAGGCGCUAUUCGGAACUAGGAAAUGUCGGACAUUUCCGAAUUUCUAGUUCUGACAAGCAAAAUGCCGCGUUCAAAACUCUCGUACUGCCGACUUCAUUUCGGUCAAAACAACUGGGAACUCAGAAAGAAACAACCUCCGACUGGAAAACAUCGAUUUGAACGGUCUUUCAACUCGGGAACUCGGGCUCUUUCUAGAGCUCAUUUUAUUUUAUAUAAUGUAGAACACUCUGUAUACAUACAAGAAGUACACACAUAGACAAUGAUAACAUGCUAGGGGGUACAACAAAUUACAGAUUAUACAAAGACCUUAAAACAAUCAAUAUGUGUGCUUCUUUUAACAACUUUCUUAUUAGAAGAAUGUGGAAUGGUCUUAUUGUACUGCUCGAAUUCCUUAUAGUAAACACGGAACUGUUUUUUUUUAUUAGUGAAUUUAUGAAUAUGACAUUUUUCCAUUAGCACAAUUAUAUUUGAGGUAAAAUUGUUUUUAUCUUUAUUAUGGUUAAGGAAACCGAGCAGCACAUUCACCCAUAACAAACCAAAGUAAUCAAGAAUAUUAACAAUUAUAAAACUGAAUAUCUUUCCAUAAUUGUUUUACAUGUAGACAAUGCCAAAGUAAAUGUGAACCUGUUUCUGGAUGCUCAAAACAAAAGUAGAAUCAAUGUUAAUGUCUUUUUUUUUAUUUUUUACUUUCUUCGGGUAAUGAUUUGCAGGGUAAUAUUUAUGGAUCAUUCUGAAAGAGACCUUUUUGACCAAGCAAGUAUUUGUGUGGUAAUAACCAGACUUUUUUCCAACAGAUAUUAGUGACCAAUGUAUUCCAGUAACUUGUGACAUAAGGAAUGAAGACAAUAUCCCUUUGAAAUAAAGCACGUAUAGAUCUGUUGUUCUGAGGGAGGAAGGAGAAACAUAUUUUCCCUAUUGGAGAGAACUGGAUUAAGCAAGGGUAGGUCAAGAAGGUGAGGUCUGGCUACAUCUCUAAAUAACAUGAGCGUUCCAGAUGGAAUAGCAUCAAAGACUAUGGCGAACUCUCUAGGUGUUACAGGGAUAUUGUAACGAGAUAAAAAUUCCUCAUAAUUGUGUGACAAUCUUUCUGCAUUAAAAAGUUGACUCACCAGCAGGAUAUGAUAAUUGAACCAGUUCUUUAAAAAUAAAGACUUGUUUCUUUACAAAAUGUCCUUAUUGAUCCAAAUGAAAUACCUAUGCGGGGAACAAUUAUGUUUAUAUAUUAAUGACCACGCUAAGAAUACUUCUCUAUGAAAAGCAGAUAAUUUUGUGUAACCGAUGUGAAAUGGCUAGCUAGUUAACCUGAAGUAGUUGUUCCCCUUGCCCUGCAAGGGCCGUGGCUUUUGUGGAGCGAUGGGUAACGAUGCUUUGAGGGUGGCUGUUGUUGAUUUGGGUCCCUGGGGCGAGGAGAGGGACGGAAGCAAAACUUACAUUUGCAGGAGUCUUAUCAAUGUUACAGUUACAAAGUAACAUAAAAUUGAGGCCACCAAAAUGGGAGAAGAUAUAAUGAAGGAUGAAAUUCCAAUUUGAAGUUGGAUUCUUUAAAAAAAAAUUGCCCAAUUUAUCUUAAGUAUUAUUCAAAGUAGGAAAAUCUUUAAAAAAUUGAGACCACCAUAUUCAUACGAGUUCAUAAAGACAGAUUUCCUAAUAUGUGUACGAUUUUUCCAGAUGAAGUUGAAAAGCACCUGGUCAACCGUUUUACCUAUUUUGUUGUCAAGAUAUAGGGACUGGGCUGCAUAAGUAUACAAUCUAAUGAGCAUCUUUCCUGUUGAUCCUUCGAUAUGGUAAUCCCAAGGUAUGUUACUUUUCCCUUGACUGGAAUAUUGCAUAUAGAGGUUAUCACACAGUCUUUAACAGCAAACAAUUCACACAAUUAUUUUUAGAGCUCUGACUCAUCGACCGGAAGAUCACUGACGUCAUGAUUUGUCUCGUAUUUUUCCGAGUUCCCAGUUGCUUUGAAUGCAGCAUUAGUUCCUAUGAUCCAUGCCAAAGAAUCAGUGAUCAUCAUAAUGACAAGCAAUACACUGAAUAAGAAGAGGACACUUUUAUUGAUAUACAAGGUACAACUUACUUUACGUCCUUUUGAGAGUACAACAUAUGUACAUGUAUAAUAAAAGGAAUAAAGGACUGUUUUUGAAAUAACUUAA
Molecule: long non-coding RNA, 2355 nt
Organism: Oncorhynchus nerka (sockeye salmon)
Lineage: Eukaryota; Metazoa; Chordata; Actinopteri; Salmoniformes; Salmonidae
Exons: 2
Source: RefSeq, a predicted model, not a curated record